GACGAACGCUGGCGGCGUGCUUAACACAUGCAAGUCGAACGAAGUGGCGAACGGGUGAGUAACGCGUAAUCAACCUGCCCUUCAGAGGGGGACACCAGUUGGAAACGACUGCUAAUACCCCUUACUGAUGUACGGGAUUGCGGCGGAUUAGCUAGUUGGCUGGGUAACGGCCCACCAAGGCGAUGAGCAGUAGCCGGGCUGGUAGGAUGAACGGCCACAUUGGGACUGAGACACGGCCCAGACUCCUACGGGAGGCAGCAGUGGGGAAUCUUCCGCAAUGGACGAAAGUCUGACGGAGCAACGCCGCGGGAGUGAUGACGGCCUUCGGGUUGUAAAGCUCUGUUAAGCGGGACGCGGUACCGGAAUAGAAAGCCACGGCUAACUACGUGCCAGCAGCCGCGGUAAUUC
Molecule: ribosomal RNA, 408 nt
Filed under: uncultured bacterium
Lineage: Bacteria
Description: partial 16S ribosomal RNA
Rfam family: Bacterial small subunit ribosomal RNA
Source: RNAcentral